GCUGGGCGUGGUGGCUCAUGCCUGUAAUCCCAGCACUUUGGGAGGCUGAGGUGGGAGGAUCACUUGAGGUCAGGAGUUUGAGACCAGCCUGACCAACAUGGUGAAACCCCAUCUCUA
This 117-nucleotide non-coding RNA is filed under the name Gorilla gorilla gorilla (western lowland gorilla). Lineage: Eukaryota; Metazoa; Chordata; Mammalia; Primates; Hominidae. The record is from Rfam by way of RNAcentral.